This 261-nucleotide ribosomal RNA is filed under the name uncultured archaeon. RNAcentral describes it as "partial 16S ribosomal RNA". It matches the Rfam family "Archaeal small subunit ribosomal RNA", at positions 748 to 1009 of the family's 1478-position model. The record is from RNAcentral.
CAGCCGUAAACAAUGUGCGUUAGGUGUGUCGGUAACCACGCGUUACUGAUGCGCCGAAGAGAAAUCGUGAAACGCACCACCUGGGAAGUACGGUCGCAAGGCUGAAACUUAAAGGAAUUGGCGGGGGAGCACCACAACAGGUGGAGCCUGCGGUUUAAUUGGAUUCAACGCCGGACAUCUCACCGGAUAAGACAGCUGAAUGAUUGUCAGGUUGAUGACCUUGCUUGACAAGCUGAGAGGAGGUGCAUGGCGUAGUCGUGU